GGACCCAUAACUAAGGAGCCAUAACUCCUUAAAAUAGAGAAGUAAGAAGUAGCAGAAGAAACUCUCAGAUCGAAGAAGAUUUCGAAAGACCUUUGGGUACAAUCCUCUCUUUUAGGGUUUUGGAAGAGAAAUAGAUCGAGAAUGGUUGCAAAUGGUGCACCUCCUCCAAGAGGCAGUGCUGCGGCGGCUGCCAGCUUGAGUCCGCGGAGGUCAACUGGUGGUGAAACUGCAUCAGGGGCCAAUGGCACAAUGCUCCAGUUUUACACUCAUGAUGCUCCAGGGCUUAAGAUUUCUCCUAAUGUUGUGCUUAUCCAAAAAUUAAACAACCUGAUUAUUGUUUUAUUUCCUCCCUACGUUUGCUAUUUAUUCUUUUGAAAGUUUUAGGGGCUUGAAUUGGAAUAUUCAAUGUACAUUUUGAUAAGCAAGUUUGUUUGUGGUAAGGAUGUGAUUUCGUUAUUGUGAA
Molecule: long non-coding RNA, 463 nt
Organism: Macadamia integrifolia
Lineage: Eukaryota; Viridiplantae; Streptophyta; Magnoliopsida; Proteales; Proteaceae
Exons: 2
Source: RefSeq, a predicted model, not a curated record